Molecule: small RNA, 27 nt
Filed under: Bombyx mori (domestic silkworm)
Lineage: Eukaryota; Metazoa; Arthropoda; Insecta; Lepidoptera; Bombycidae
Description: ovarian small RNA-11274
Source: RNAcentral
ACCCCUCCGAAAGUCGCUCGAACCACC